This 704-nucleotide ribosomal RNA is filed under the name Vibrio parahaemolyticus. RNAcentral's name for it is "partial 23S ribosomal RNA". It matches the Rfam family "Bacterial large subunit ribosomal RNA", at positions 613 to 1320 of the family's 2925-position model. The record is from RNAcentral. Lineage: Bacteria; Pseudomonadati; Pseudomonadota; Gammaproteobacteria; Vibrionales; Vibrionaceae.
UAAUGGGUCAGCGACUUAUAUUCAGUGGCAAGGUUAACCAUCUAGGGGAGCCGUAGGGAAACCGAGUCUUAACUGGGCGUUCAGUCUCUGGAUAUAGACCCGAAACCAGGUGAUCUAGCCAUGGGCAGGUUGAAGGUUGAGUAACAUCAACUGGAGGACCGAACCGACUAAUGUUGAAAAAUUAGCGGAUGACUUGUGGCUAGGGGUGAAAGGCCAAUCAAACCUGGAGAUAGCUGGUUCUCCCCGAAAGCUAUUUAGGUAGCGCCUCGGACGAAUACUACUGGGGGUAGAGCACUGUUAAGGCUAGGGGGUCAUCCCGACUUACCAACCCUUUGCAAACUCCGAAUACCAGUAAGUACUAUCCGGGAGACACACGGCGGGUGCUAACGUCCGUCGUGGAGAGGGAAACAACCCAGACCGCCAGCUAAGGUCCCAAAUUACUACUAAGUGGGAAACGAUGUGGGAAGGCUCAGACAGCCAGGAUGUUGGCUUAGAAGCAGCCAUCAUUUAAAGAAAGCGUAAUAGCUCACUGGUCGAGUCGGCCUGCGCGGAAGAUGUAACGGGGCUAAGUAGUAAACCGAAGCUGCGGCAAUAUACUUUUGUAUAUUGGGUAGGGGAGCGUUCUGUAAGCGGUUGAAGGUGUGUGGUAACGCAUGCUGGACGUAUCAGAAGUGCGAAUGCUGACAUGAGUAACGAUAAAGGGG